AAACCUUCGCUCAUCGGGGGCAUAGUGUAGUCGAAUCUUCGUUGUUGAGUUAACGUUUGUCAAAUGGAACUCAAACUUCAUGUACAACCACAUAAACUGUUUAAGGCACGAAUAUAAAUUGAAAACAAAUUUGAAAAAUUUCGUUACCUUAUUCUCCAAAACAGAUUUGGACAAAUUCAAGGAUUUUACACAAGGUAAAUCAAGAGAAUAACAAAUCACGCUUCCUUUCGUAAUGACUUUAUCAACCACAAUCGAAGAGUAACAAUUAAUCGGAUCAAAAUGAGAGGAUCUUUUAAGAACUAAGUCACCAAAAUUUUUAUCAAUAAUUUUCAAAUCUGCACUGGACUCGGUUUCUAAAAUUUCCUUACCUCGCUUACCUUCGGGAUCAUGUAGUGUGAUUUCAUCUUUGCCUAAGUUGAUCGUAUGAAAGCGUCUUUCAUUUGAGAGGUAUUGAAGUUGAAAGUUAUCUUUCGAUCUUUCGGGAACCUGAAAAGUAGCAACACAAGAAAAAAUCAUAUCUUGGUUAGUGGAAACAUUCCUCACUACCCUUUCCACGUCUUUUUCUUUUGUUUCUUUUUCUAAUUCAUUUUCUCUUCUUUCUUCAAUUUCUUUUUCACUCUCAAUCUCUUUUUGCUCUUUUUCAUUCUCUUUUUCUUUUUCCUCACUUGUUUUAACAGAAUUUUUCAGUUUGAUUUGGUCCUCAUGGACUUGUUCCGGAGUGAGCGGCACUAAGGUGAGUUUCUUUCCUUGAUGCUUGAAAGAAUACCUAUUGGUACGACCAUCGUGAGUGACUUUUCGAUCCAGUUGCCAUGGUUCUCCUAGCAACAAAUGGCAGGCUUGAAUAGGUACUACGUCGCACACGACUUCGUCUUGAUAUUUACCGAUAGAAAAGGCGAUGCGCACUUGUUGAGUGACCUUAAAUUGGCUUUCGUUGCUAAGCCCUUGUAGUUGAUAAGGUCGUGGAUGCUUGGUAGUGCUUAAGCAAAGCUUUUCCACCAUCGUCGUGCUGGCUACGUUCGAGCAACUUUCACCAUCAAUAAUAACUCUACAAAGCUUACCUUGUACAUGGCAGCGAGUAUGAAAGAGAUGUUCUCGUUGCUGCUCGCUCUUUGGUUUUGCCAAAGAAGGUUGUCCACGAUCAUGAAAAUCAUCAUCCAUUCUAGGGACACGUUGAGGGUUGCACCUAUGGGGCUGGUUAUCCCUAUCUUCCUUAAUUAGAUCUCGAUAUUGAUGUUUUUGAUUCACUCGCACCUUAUUGAUAGUAGCAGUCAACGCUCGAAGUGCAACAGCCUGUUCGUCCAACUGUUGUUGGAAUUUUUUAAAUAUGUCACUAUUAUUAUCACCUGUAGACAUUUUUUUUUAAAACCUGCAAAACACUCAACACUCAAAAAUAAAAGUUAUCAAACCUCACCGUUAAUCACUCAAAAAGAAAAAAAUCAAAUUCUCAAUGAGGUCGAAUUCAAUCUUGUGAGUUCUUUAUCAGAGUUUAUAUCAACCAAUUAGAGAGUCUGAACCAAACUACCAAAGAAUCCUAAUUUGCACUAGGAUGCCAAAAACUGACGAGACACCAAUUGAUUCGUGUUGCACCGAGGAAGAAGUUGUGCACACGUUUAAAUCCUACUAACACAAGAAACAAGAAGGUGUUAGAUAACGUAAAGGAAGAAUAAAGGUAAACAAAUGAAAACCUACAGCUAAGAAUCAAUAAAAAUUGCUGAAAACAGAAAACCCGAAAAACUGCGGAGUAACUUGACAACUUCGUUCGAGGUGUUCCCGAUCUCAAAAAAUCACAAAAUUAAAUCUGGAAUGUCUUCAAAUAUUGAAUUUUUGAUCUGGAAAAUUUGGGCACCAAAUUCAACCCGCUGAAUAUUUUUUUAAUUUUUUAUUGGAUUUCGUCUUUUUUCAAUUUUUUGACUUUUUCGACUUAUUUUUUUUUGCGGUAAAUAUUUUUGUAUAUUCAAUAACAGUGCCAAAAAUAUGUAUGUAAAAUUUCAGAUCAAUCAGAAAACGUUUACCCACUCAAAUGAAUUUUUUUUCGAAAAUUUUUCUGGGUAAAACUGCUGUUGUAAUUUAAAAAAUAGAGAUCAGUUUAGAAAUCAACCAAGAACACCCAAAACGCCCAAAAUCUGAUACCAAAUGAUACGGGGUUGCGCGCGGACCAAGAUCGAGUUGCCAAGUCACGAGAAACUCCUACGAAAACCCUAAACAAUUAGAUCUGAAACGAAACAGAAAAUUAAAAGAUUAAAUUUUUGAAUUUUCAGAUCUGAAAUAAAAUCCCCAAAUCAGCAAAGAAUCAAAUUGAGAAUAGAAAUAAGUGUUAGGGUUCUUGAAACCCUCAAGGAGAUUGUGAUUCUGCCCAAUUGAACACCAAGAUAGUUUUCCCCAAAUUUCGACAAUCUAAUUUCACCCAAAAAGAGUAUGGAAAAACCCUAGAAAUUGGGGAUUUUUGGGCUGAUUCCUUAAGAUAGAAAAAGGCUGAAAACACAAUAAGAACAGAAAAUAGAUUAGAUAAUGAUUCAGCACAAGUAGAAAUAAAGAAAGAAUUGACAGUAAGAAAUUAAAAGAUAAGUCCUAAGAAGCCUUGAAAUCUCGAAAGAUCUCACAACUCCCUUCAAACGGCUCUAAUCUCCCCUCCAAAGAAUAUCAAUGGCAAGAAGAAGGUUGAAGAUGGCUCCCACAAUCACAAGAUUGUUAAAACAACUUCUAAAGAAAACUCAAGAGAGAAAUCUUGGAGAAAACUCAAAGAAAAUUCUGCUCUCAACAAAUCUGAAAUUUUAAUAAUAAUGAUAAGUGUUUAACAAGGUGGACAGCCAUGCCUUUAAAUAGGCAUUAUAACUAGUCCUAAUCUAAUUAGAAAACUAAAAUAAAAAAAAACUCCUAAUUAUUUUAAUAUGGAAAUUCGGUCAAAGGUCAUUUUAUCUGGGACUCUUGGACUGAAUAUUGACAUAAAAAUUUAAACUAAGUAAAUAAAUAAAUAAAUAAAUAAAAAUAAAAAUAAAACUUUACAACUUGGGCCACUUUGACAAUUUGGCCUGAUUUUCAACUAAGUAUGGAUGGAUUUCUUGAUUGGGCUGGGAAUUUGCUUAUUGGGCCUCGCCUUCAAGAAUUUGGGCUUUUGUGACUCGUAUCAGUUUAUUUUUUACAGUUUUGAAGAUGUCUAAAGGUGAUAAUAAUGAUGCACUUAUGAAAGUCCAACAACAGUUAGACAGACAUACUGCUGCAAUCACACAAAUAAAUGCUACACUUCAAGCAUUGAAUACUACUUUGAAUGAGGUACGAGUGAAUCAAAAAUAUCAAUAUCGAGAUCCAAUUAAGGAAGAUAGGGAUAACCAGCCCCAUAGGUGCAGCCCUCAACGUGUCCCUAGAAUGGAUGAUGAUUUUAAUGAUCGUGGACAAUCAUCUUUGGUAAAACCAAAGAGCGAGCAGCAACGAGAACAUCUCUUUCAUACUCGCUGUCAUGUACAAUGUAAGCUUUGUAGAGUUAUUAUUGAUUGUGAAAGUUGCUCAAACAUAGCCAGCACGACGAUGGUGGAAAAGCUUUGCUUAACCACUACCAAGCAUCCACAACCUUAUCAACUACAAGGGCUUAGCAACGAAGGCCAAUUUAGAGUCACUCAACAAGUGCGCAUCGCCUUUUCUAUCGGUAAGUAUCAAGACGAAGUUGUGUGCGACGUAAUGCCUAUUCAAGCCUGCCAUUUGUUGCUAGGAGAACCAUGGCAAUUGGAUCGAAAAGUCACUCACGAUGGUCGUACCAAUAGGUAUUCUUUCAAGCAUCAAGGAAAGAAACUCACCUUAGUGCCGCUCACUCCGGAACAAGUCUAUGAGGACCAAAUCAAACUGAAAAAUUCUGUUAAAACAAGUGAGGAAAAAGAAAAAGAGAAUGAAAAAGAGCAAAAAGAGAUUGAGAAUGAAAAAGAAAUUGAAGAAAGAAGAGAAAAUGAAUUAGAAAAAGAAACAAAAGAAAAAGACGUGGAAAGGGUAGUGAGGAAUGUUUCCACUAACCAAUAUAUGAAUUUUUCUUGUGUUGCUACUUUUCAGGUUCCCGAAAGAUCGAAAGAUAACUUUCAACUUCAAUACCUCUCAAAUGAAAGACGCUUUCAUACGAUCAACUUAGGCAAAGAUGAAAUCACACUACAUGAUCCCGAAGGUAAGCGAGGUAAGGAAAUUUUAGAAACCGAGUCCAGUGCAGAUUUGAAAAUUAUUGAUAAAAUUUUUGGUGACUUAGUUCUUAAAAGAUCCUCUCAUUUUGAUCCGAUUAAUUGUUACUCUUCGAUUGUGGUUGAUAAAGUCAUUACGAAAAGAAGCGUGAUUUGUUAUUCUCUUGAUUUACCUUGUGUAAAAUCCUUGAAUUUGUCCAAAUCUGUUUUGGAGAAUAAAGUAACGAAAUUUUUCAAAUUUGUUUUCAAUUUAUAUUCGUGCCUUAAACAGUUUAUGUGGUUGUAAAUGAAGUUUGAGUUCCAUUUGACAAAGGUUAAUUCAACAACGGAUAUUCGACUACACUAUGCCCCCGAUGAGCGAAGGUUUGUUUUAAAUGAAAAAGGUAAAAUUGACCCUUAUUCUUCUGCUUAUCGAGGUAAGAUGCUUGAAACCUUUGAAACACUUUUGUACUCCUCGGAUAGUGAUAAAGAUCGUGUUGAUGAACACUUAGAUCGAAACGUGCUUGACUGUCCUAUUUUAUUUAUUGAUGAUCUAUCUGUUUUGAUGGUUGAUAAAAAUAUUCUUGUUUUUGAUAAUGCAUGUGUGAGUGAAUCUAUAGACCGUCGAUUAAUGCAUGGUAUGAUUAUGCAACUCUGUGAACCAUGUGAAUCUUUUCAAAUACCUACUUGUG
RNAcentral lists this long non-coding RNA (4825 nucleotides) under Gossypium barbadense (sea-island cotton). Its description in RNAcentral is "long non-coding RNA (GBAR_LNC001331)". Lineage: Eukaryota; Viridiplantae; Streptophyta; Magnoliopsida; Malvales; Malvaceae. The record is from RNAcentral.